RNAcentral lists this ribosomal RNA (723 nucleotides) under Escherichia coli. Its description in RNAcentral is "partial 23S ribosomal RNA". It matches the Rfam family "Bacterial large subunit ribosomal RNA", at positions 2208 to 2925 of the family's 2925-position model. The record is from RNAcentral. Lineage: Bacteria; Pseudomonadati; Pseudomonadota; Gammaproteobacteria; Enterobacterales; Enterobacteriaceae. RNAcentral also lists the same sequence under 1 other name.
UAAUGUUUGAUGUUCUAACGUGGACCCGUGAUCCGGGUUGCGGACAGUGUCUGGUGGGUAGUUUGACUGGGGCGGUCUCCUCCUAAAGAGUAACGGAGGAGCACGAAGGUUGGCUAAUCCUGGUCGGACAUCAGGAGGUUAGUGCAAUGGCAUAAGCCAGCUUGACUGCGAGCGUGACGGCGCGAGCAGGUGCGAAAGCAGGUCAUAGUGAUCCGGUGGUUCUGAAUGGAAGGGCCAUCGCUCAACGGAUAAAAGGUACUCCGGGGAUAACAGGCUGAUACCGCCCAAGAGUUCAUAUCGACGGCGGUGUUUGGCACCUCGAUGUCGGCUCAUCACAUCCUGGGGCUGAAGUAGGUCCCAAGGGUAUGGCUGUUCGCCAUUUAAAGUGGUACGCGAGCUGGGUUUAGAACGUCGUGAGACAGUUCGGUCCCUAUCUGCCGUGGGCGCUGGAGAACUGAGGGGGGCUGCUCCUAGUACGAGAGGACCGGAGUGGACGCAUCACUGGUGUUCGGGUUGUCAUGCCAAUGGCACUGCCCGGUAGCUAAAUGCGGAAGAGAUAAGUGCUGAAAGCAUCUAAGCACGAAACUUGCCCCGAGAUGAGUUCUCCCUGACCCUUUAAGGGUCCUGAAGGAACGUUGAAGACGACGACGUUGAUAGGCCGGGUGUGUAAGCGCAGCGAUGCGUUGAGCUAACCGGUACUAAUGAACCGUGAGGCUUAACCUU